Non-coding RNA from Acanthosepion pharaonis, 107 nucleotides. The record is from the annotation of a GenBank genome assembly. Lineage: Eukaryota; Metazoa; Mollusca; Cephalopoda; Sepiida; Sepiidae.
UACAGCCAUACCACAUUAAAACAUCGGUUCUCAUACGAUCGUUGUAGUUAAGCAACGUCGAGCCUGGUCAGUACUUAGAUGGGUGACCGCUUGGGAAUACAAGAUGC